GACGAACGCUGGCGGCGUGCUUAACACAUGCAAGUCGAACGGAAAGGCCCUGCUUUUGUGGGGUGCUCGAGUGGCGAACGGGUGAGUAACACGUGAGUAACCUGCCCUUGACUUUGGGAUAACUUCAGGAAACUGGGGCUAAUACCGGAUAGGAGCUCCUGCUGCAUGGUGGGGGUUGGAAAGUUUCGGCGGUUGGGGAUGGACUCGCGGGUUAUCAGCUUGUUGGUGGGGUAGUGGCUUACCAAGGCUUUGACGGGUAGCCGGCCUGAGAGGGUGACCGGCCACAUUGGGACUGAGAUACGGCCCAGACUCCUACGGGAGGCAGCAGUGGGGAAUAUUGCACAAUGGGCGGAAGCCUGAUGCAGCAACGCCGCGUGCGGGAUGACGGCCUUCGGGUUGUAAACCGCUUUCGCCUGUGACGAAGCGUGAGUGACGGUAAUGGGUAAAGAAGCACCGGCUAACUACGUG
This 468-nucleotide ribosomal RNA is filed under the name uncultured bacterium. Its description in RNAcentral is "partial 16S ribosomal RNA". It matches the Rfam family "Bacterial small subunit ribosomal RNA", at positions 28 to 507 of the family's 1533-position model. The record is from RNAcentral.